This 236-nucleotide long non-coding RNA is filed under the name Capsicum annuum. RNAcentral describes it as "long non-coding RNA (CANN_LNC012654)". Lineage: Eukaryota; Viridiplantae; Streptophyta; Magnoliopsida; Solanales; Solanaceae. The record is from RNAcentral.
UUUCCACAUUUGUCUUUUGAAACGUAAUUGAUUAUUGUUUUUUUUGUGUUCUUGUCCGUCGAAUGAUUUAUUUGUCCAGAAUUAGUCAAGUAUGAAAUUAUGUCAGACAUUCUACUAUUUCUCUAUUCUGAUUUCAAGUCGUAUUCUGUGAGCCAAUCCCGAAAUUCAUAAGUGAUUCAACUUAGGAUCCCAAUUUUGUGUCACUAUGCCAACUUUAUUGGACUACAUGAACCUGU